Molecule: long non-coding RNA, 4140 nt
Filed under: Sus scrofa (pig)
Lineage: Eukaryota; Metazoa; Chordata; Mammalia; Artiodactyla; Suidae
Description: lncRNA (ENSSSCG00000055625.1)
Source: RNAcentral
UCCCUGGCACCGCAUGAUAACGAGACUACAUGGGGAGCACAGGUUCUUCCUUCUUAGCAAGACAGUAUCUCCUUUUAUAUUGAAAGCAGAUGAAAGCCUAGAAAUACUUCUUAGAGCUUGGAAGAAAAGGAACUUGGAGAGAAGAUUUUUAUUUAUAAAUGGAAGCUUUUGUAUUCUAGACAAAUCACAAAUGACAUUAAUAAAUGAACAUCCCUAACCACUGGGAGGAUGAUUCCACAUGAGAAGGAAUUUGCUUUGACACCUGUGUUGUACCACUAUACUCAGUGUAUCCAUUUCCUUGGAUAAAACCAACUUUAUCCUUGGAUGAGACUAGAACAUUAAAAAGCCCUGGAUUUGAAUUGAACCUUUUGAGUCUUUGGUCUAAUUACUUGUAUCAAAUUGAGUUUUGGUUUUAUGCUACCAGUCAACACUGAAGGGCAUGAAGAAAAGGAGAUACUGUAAACUAGUAAUUAGACCUAUUGUGGAGAUGCUGUUGAGAAUAUCUUGUAGUGUAUCAUAUAGUAGCUUUUUUUUUUGUUUGUUUUUUUGCUUUUUAGGUCUACACCUGGGGCAUAUGGAAGUUCCCAGGCUAAGAGUCAAAUCGAAGCUAUUGCUGCCAGCCACAGCCACGGCAAUACCAGACCCGAGCUGCCUCUUUGACCUACACCAAAGCCAGAUCCUUUAACCCACUGAAUGAUGCCAAGGAUCUAACCUGCAUCUUCAUGGAGUAUAGUCAGGUUUGUUACCUCUGAGCCACAACAGGAACUCCCUAUACAAAUCUGGCAGCCAGCUUCCUUUUCCUUUCUAUUUUUCAUCUGGGAGGCUCUCCAUUUGAUAUUGUGGAUUUUGCAGUUGUCUGCCUUUCUUUCUCUACUUUGCAUUCUGGAAGGUUAGAAUCCAAUUUGGCCCUCCCAGAUAGUAACUGUAUAUAGGUAAUAGAGUAUGCAUUCCUAUUUGCCAGUUUGGCCCAGGCUCUGUCAUCUUUCUAUGUUUUCCUUGAUUUCUUCAACUAUUGAUCCCAUUCUUUAUCAGCUUUGUUUAUUUUUUUUUUCUAGCAAACUCAUAUCCUUUGCUGCAGAAGAGACCUAUGUAAAUCUAUUUAUCAUAUAGUCUGUCUAAACAAUUGUGAAAAUAAUACCUUCACCUAUGGGAGAAAGUCCAAAUAACUUUAUACCAUAUAAGACCCUCCGUAGACUUAACAUCUUAAUCUUCUCUCUCAUGUUAGUAAGUAAUUUCCAUUCUAUUUUACACUCUUCUCUUAAUCCCACCACUCUCUGUUUCAAGGCAACAUGUUGAGAGUUUCACAAAAAAACAAUGCUGUUCCAUGCCUCUGUGUCUUAAUGCAUAUGUUUGUGCUCUCCUGGCUGCUAUUACUAUUCUUCCUUGAGUCUUCUUACCUCUCAUCCUUCCAUCCACUAGCACAGAUAUAUACUUUGUUCUCCUACUGUAUGUAUAUUAAUUUCUGUCUUAUAAUUAAUACAGAUACUUUGAUAGAACUUUUCCACCAAAUCUCUUUGUCACUAGACUAUAAGCUCUUUGUAGGCAGAGGUUUAAUUUUUGCGUCUGUCUUAAAAUUAAGAAACUUUGCAUAAUUCCUGGCAUGUUAUGAAUAUUCAGUGUGUUUAACAUUUGAAUAAUGGGUGGAUGAAUAAAUACAUGAAUGCAUUAUUAAAUACUACAGGGUCUGUGUUAAGCAUUACAGUUGUACUAAAAAGAAGCCAAAGAGUAGAUGCAUAAUUGACCAUGUUGUGCUCCCUCUUUCACUCUGUAUACUACAAAAAAUGAGAAUAAGAGUGGAAUGCUACUAAAAUAUACUAUGUCGUAUAUUGGAAGAACAAAUUUGUCUACCUAAUUUUCAAAUUUAAAAUAUAGUGUUUGUGAAUAUAUAUAUGCAGGGGUGUUCAGUUAUUAUAAAGAUGUCAAAAUCCAUAUCAGUGUAGACAAAAUCCACUUAUUACUAAAGUUACUUUGAUUUGGCUCUUAGCACUAUCUAUUUUUUAAUUUUGAAAUAAUAAUUAGGAAUGAUGCUUUGACCUGUCUUACUCAAAAAAAUAUAGGGCUAUGGAACCAAAUUAAAUACUUAGGUUAAAGUCAAUCUUCCUUUUUCUUUUUCUUUUUUUUUUUUUUUUUCUUUUUUUAGGGCCACACUUGCACCAUAUGGAAAUUUCCAGGCUAGGGAUUGAAUCAGAGCUACAGCUGAGGCCUCUGCCACAGUGACAGCAAUAUGAGAUCUGAGCCAUGUCUGUGACCUAUACCAUAGCUCAUGGCAAUGCCGCAUCCUUAACCCACUGAGCAAGGCCAGGGAUCAAACCCACAUUCUCAUAGAUAUUCAUCAGAUUUGUUUCUGCUGAGAAACAAUGGGAACUUGUAUUUUGUAGAUAAUUGAUCUGUAUUCGAUUAUUCUGAUUUUGAAAGCUUUUCAGUAGUAUUUCUGUUUUCAGAUAUGAUUGAAUACAUAAUAACAUAAAUAAGUAGCUUUUAAAGAAAUUUUUAUUGUAAAAGCUUUAUAGAAAGGUGUUUGGAAUGAAACAAUAUUACUAUAUGCUGAAAAACAUACAAUAACUUUUAUUUGAAUUUGUACUUUGUUCAACAUACAUAGUUUUCAGAUUCUUGCACUAUAAUCAACACUCUGUAUAUGACAGUUCUUUAAUCAUGGGCUAUGUGAUUAUAUAAUCUUACAUAUUAUUUUAUAUUGAAGUGAUAUUAUAAAUUACUCUAAUUCCCAUCAUUAAUAUUUAUUUAAUUAUGUCCCAGCAAAUUUAAGAAACUGGCCAAUCUUCCAAAGAUUUUAUGAUUUUGAAAAAAAAAAAAAACUCCUAGCCAUGGAUAAAUGCCUUAAUUUUGUUCAUAUUACAGGAUAUUAAUUCAUUCUUCUUUCAUAUAGUAGUAAAUGAAUAAAACUGCAUCAGGUGUGUAAAACACAUCAGUAUAAGAUGAGGGCCAUAAGAGGGAUCAUAAAGUAUUGUUGUCACUAAUACAAGAUUUAUAUAAUUGACAAUUUAUAUUAAUAUAUGAAAGUGCAUAUAUAGUGCUUUCAUGUUGGCAGGAUUAGUGUGGUUCAGACUUUAUUUUCACCUGUUCUUUGAAAAUUGAAAAAUCCAAGAAAUGUGAUUUAAAAUGUCAGUAACUAUUAAGCACACGGAAACAUUGUUUUUGGCAAUAGGUGAGUAAUUACAAGAAGUAAAAUUAAAGAAGUUAACAGAGGAUUAAGGCUUCUACAAAAUACUUGAAGCUAGGAACAAAUUACAUAGACUAGUUUCCCAAUAUUAGUGAUGAUCUUAUAUUUCCAUAUUUCUUAGAACUCCUAAGGCCGCUGCAAUUAUGUUACAUAACCAAUGAGUAUAAAACUCAUAUAGUUGAAAAAUUUGUGUUGAAAAUACUAUUUUUAAGAAUUAAAAUGAUCUCAUAGAUGAUAUGAUCUUAUAUAUAUGAGUCCCUAAAGAUUUAGGGAAAAAAAAAAAAAACUAUUGGAACUAAUUAACAAAUACAACAAAGUUGCAGGACACAAAAUUAACACACAAAAGUCCAUUAAAUUGCUAUACACUAAUACUGAACAAUCUGAAAUGAAAAUUUAGAAAACAAUUCUAUUUACAAUAACAGAAAUAAUAAAAUACUUAAGAAUGAACAUAACCAAGGAGGCAAGAGACUUAGACGCUGAACAAAAAAAAAAUUACUGAAAGAAGAUACCAAUAAAUGGAAUAUAUAUAUAUCCUUGUUGCAUAUAUUGGAAGACUUCAGAUUCAGUGCACUCCAUAUAAAAUUCCCAAUGACAAUUUUUGCAGAAAUAGAAAAUUGCAUAUUAAAAGUCAUAUAGAAUCUCAGACCAAAGUAGACAAAACAAUUUUGAAAAAGGACAUCAAAAUUGAAAAACUCAAAGUUACUUAUUUCAAAACAAACUAUAAAAUAUCAGUAAUCAGGAGUUCCUAUUGUGACUCAGAGAUAAAGAACCCAGCUAGGGUCCAUGAGAAUGCAAGUUCGAUCAAUGGCCUUGCUCAGUGGGUUAAAUGAUCUGGCAUUUCUGUGAGCUGUUUUGUAGGUAGCAGACACAGCUCGGAUCCUAUGUUGCUGUGACUGUGGAGUAAGCCUGCGACUACAGUUCCUAUUCAGCCCCUAACCCAGGAACUUCCAUAUGUCACAGGU